Molecule: ribosomal RNA, 922 nt
Filed under: Saccharomyces x bayanus
Lineage: Eukaryota; Fungi; Ascomycota; Saccharomycetes; Saccharomycetales; Saccharomycetaceae
Description: LSU rRNA
Rfam family: Eukaryotic large subunit ribosomal RNA
Source: RNAcentral
CCUGAACUUAAGCAUAUCAAUAAGCGGAGGAAAAGAAACCAACCGGGAUUGCCUUAGUAACGGCGAGUGAAGCGGCAAAAGCUCAAAUUUGAAAUCUGGUACCUUUGGUGCCCGAGUUGUAAUUUGGAGAGGGCAACUUUGGGACCGUUCCUUGUCUAUGUUCCUUGGAACAGGACGUCAUAGAGGGUGAGAAUCCCGUGUGGCGAGGAGUGCGGUUCUAUGUAAAGUGCCUUCGAAGAGUCGAGUUGUUUGGGAAUGCAGCUCUAAGUGGGUGGUAAAUUCCAUCUAAAGCUAAAUAUUGGCGAGAGACCGAUAGCGAACAAGUACAGUGAUGGAAAGAUGAAAAGAACUUUGAAAAGAGAGUGAAAAAGUACGUGAAAUUGUUGAAAGGGAAGGGCAUUUGAUCAGACAUGGUGUUUUGCGCCCUCUGCUCCUUGUGGGUGGGGGAAUCUCGCAGUUCACUGGGCCAGCAUCAGUUUUGGUGGCAGGAUAAAUCCGUAGGAAUGUAACUUGCUUCGGGAAGUAUUAUAGCCUAUGGGAAUACUGCCAACUGGGACUGAGGACUGCGACGUAAGUCAAGGAUGCUGGCAUAAUGGUUAUAUGCCGCCCGUCUUGAAACACGGACCAAGGAGUCUAACGUCUAUGCAAGUGUUUGGGUGUAAAACCCAUACGCGUAAUGAAAGUGAACGUAGGUUGGGGCCUCGCAAGAGGUGCACAAUCGACCGAUCCUGAUGUCUUCGGAUGGAUUUGAGUAAGAGCAUAGCUGUUGGGACCCGAAAGAUGGUGAACUAUGCCUGAAUAGGGUGAAGCCAGAGGAAACUCUGGUGGAGGCUCGUAGCGGUUCUGACGUGCAAAUCGAUCGUCGAAUUUGGGUAUAGGGGCGAAAGACUAAUCGAACCAUCUAGUAGCUGGUUCCUGCCGA